Molecule: ribosomal RNA, 468 nt
Filed under: uncultured bacterium
Lineage: Bacteria
Description: partial 16S ribosomal RNA
Rfam family: Bacterial small subunit ribosomal RNA
Source: RNAcentral
GACGAACGCUGGCGGCGUGCUUAACACAUGCAAGUCGAACGGAAAGGCCCUGCUUUUGUGGGGUGCUCGAGUGGCGAACGGGUGAGUAACACGUGAGUAACCUGCCCUUGACUUUGGGAUAACUUCAGGAAACUGGGGCUAAUACCGGAUAGGAGCUCCUGCUGCAUGGUGGGGGUUGGAAAGUUUCGGCGGUUGGGGAUGGACUCGCGGCUUAUCAGCUUGUUGGUGGGGUAGUGGCUUACCAAGGCUUUGACGGGUAGCCGGCCUGAGAGGGUGACCGGCCACAUUGGGACUGAGGUACGGCCCAGACUCCUACGGGAGGCAGCGGUGGGGAAUAUUGCACAAUGGGCGGACGCCUGAUGCAGCAACGCCGCGUGCGGGAUGACGGCCUUCGGGUUGUAAACCGCUUUCGCCUGUGACGAAGCGUGAGUGACGGUAAUGGGUAAAGAAGCACCGGCUAACUACGUG